AGAAUCAACGCUGGCGGCGUGCCUCAGACAUGCAAGUCGAACGAUUAAAGCUCUCUUCGGAGAGUGUAUAGAGUGGCGCACGGGUGAGUAACACGUAAGUAAUCUACCUUCGAGUGGGGGAAUAACGUCCGGAAACGGACGCUAAUACCGCAUAAUGCAGCGGCAUCGCAAGAUGACAGUUGUUAAAGAUUUAUCGCUUGAAGAGGAGCUUGCGGCAGAUUAGCUAGUUGGUAAGGUAAUGGCUUACCAAGGCUACGAUCUGUAACCGGUCUAAGAGGACGGUCGGUCACACUGACACUGAAUAACGGGUCAGACUCCUACGGGAGGCAGCAGUCGGGAAUUUUGGGCAAUGGGCGAAAGCCUGACCCAGCAACGCCGCGUGAAGGAUGAAGUAUU
RNAcentral lists this ribosomal RNA (396 nucleotides) under uncultured soil bacterium. RNAcentral describes it as "bacterial SSU rRNA". It matches the Rfam family "Bacterial small subunit ribosomal RNA", at positions 26 to 417 of the family's 1533-position model. The record is from RNAcentral.